AUAAAGCGUAUUUUACUGUGUUUGAAUACUAUAGCAUGGAAUAACAACAUUGAAUAGGUCAAAAGUUUUUGAAAAAUUUUUCUUAUUUUGGCUUAGAUACAGUUAAUAGGAGUAGCUUGGGGGCAUUUGUAUUCAGAUGUCAGAGGUGAAAUUCUUAGAUUUUCUGGAGACAAACAACUGCGAAAGCAUUUGCCUAAAAUACUUCCAUUAAUCAAGAACGAAAGUUAAGGGAGUGAAGACGAUCAGAUACCGUCGUAAUCUUAACCAUAAACUAUGCCGACUAAGUGUUGGAUGAAAAUUUAUAAAUAAAACUAUCUUCUUUAAAGGAGUAGUUUUUUAGAUGCUUCCUUCAGUACCUUAUGAGAAAUCAAAGUCUUUGGGUUCUGGGGCGAGUAUUCGCGCAAGCGAGAAAGUUAAAAGAAUUGACGGAAGGGCACCACCAGGCGUGGAGCUUGCGGCUUAAUUUGACUCAACACGGGGAAACUCACUAGUUUAAGACAAGAGUAGGAUUGACAGAUUAAUAGCUCUUUCUUGAUUUCUUGGAUGGUGAUGCAUGGCCGUUUUUAGUUCGUGAAUAUGAUUUGUCUGGUUAAUUCCGAUAACGAACGAGAUCUUAACCUGCUAAUUAGCGGUGGAUAUGUGAUAUUCUUCGAAGGUGGACUAACUAUAGCGUUUUCGAAGGUAUGUUGCAUAAUCAAAUUGGUUUACCCUUUGUUUUUUUGUAGCAUAUUCUUUUAUUUCGUUGGGUUUUUUCCCUAGUAAGGAUGUAUCUGCUUUAUUUAAUGCUUCUUAGAGGAACGAUGUGUGUCUAACACAAGGAAGUUUAAGGCAACAACAGGUCUGUGAUGUCCUUAGAUAUACUAGGCUGCACGCGUGCUACACUGAUAUGUAAAACGAGUAUUUAAAAUUAUAUCUGUAUGGUAGAUAAUUUAAUUUCUACGUAUUAUCAGCAUAUACUUUUCCUACACUGAAAUAGUGAAGGUAAUCUUUAUCAAUACAUAUCGUGAUGGGGAUAGAUUAUUGCAAUUAUUAAUCUUGAACGAGGAAUGCCUAGUAAGCAUGAUUCAUCAGAUUGUGCUGACUACGUCCCUGCCCUUUGUACACACCGCCCGUCGCUCCUACCGAUUGAAAGAUAUGAUGAAUUGUUUGGACAAGAAAAUAGAAAUUUUAUUUUUAUUUUUUUUGGAAGGACCGUAAAUCCUAUCUUUUAAAGGAAGGAGAAGUCGUAACAAGGUUUCCGUAGGUGAACCUGCGGAAGGAUCAUUU
This 1266-nucleotide ribosomal RNA is filed under the name Plasmodium berghei. RNAcentral describes it as "SSU rRNA". It matches the Rfam family "Eukaryotic small subunit ribosomal RNA", at positions 775 to 1831 of the family's 1831-position model. Lineage: Eukaryota; Apicomplexa; Aconoidasida; Haemosporida; Plasmodiidae. The record is from RNAcentral.